Molecule: long non-coding RNA, 466 nt
Organism: Drosophila sulfurigaster albostrigata
Lineage: Eukaryota; Metazoa; Arthropoda; Insecta; Diptera; Drosophilidae
Exons: 3
Source: RefSeq, a predicted model, not a curated record
GUCGUCGACAUAAUCCAUGAGUUUUAAAUACUAAAUCGAAUUGCUGUUAACAUUAUCGAUUAGCCUACGAAUGUAAACGAUAUCAAUAUUCCGAAUGAACGAAGUAUCAAUGUCAACUUGAUAACAGGAUGCAGUUGAUGCUUACCACAUUCUAAAAAUUUGAGAUUUAUUGUUGGGCGUUCGUGGAUUUUUUUUAUUCAUGUGACGUUUUCAUAAGAUUUGUACCUGGCGCCCAGCUUGCGGUUAAGACUGAUAAUUGCAUUAAGGGGAAUAUCAUGGCGCGGGCAGCUAUUAAUAGACAACCUGUCUUUAUAAAAACCACAAUGAAUCAUUUAUAAAUAUUAUCGUAAAAGUUUAUAACAUUGCACCUAAUACAAGUGUAUGACGAAUUAGACGCAAAUAUUUGGAAAUUUGAAUAAAAAGGGGCAAGCAAAUGAGUAAGCCACUGUGUGUAACUCUGAGAGCU